Molecule: long non-coding RNA, 657 nt
Organism: Myotis davidii
Lineage: Eukaryota; Metazoa; Chordata; Mammalia; Chiroptera; Vespertilionidae
Exons: 2
Source: RefSeq, a predicted model, not a curated record
AUUUCCUCGCUUGUCCUCUAGGUUAUCUGCUGAUGGGCUCGGCCGGUAAGGAGGACUGACUGCGUGGAGAGGCGGAAACCACGAGUCUUUCUUUUUCCUUUCUCCUGGUUUUCCGUCUGCGUUCUCAUCAUGGUAAAGACACCUCCAGACCAUUCUGGGAGAUGUUUUCAGUGUUACCUUGUCAUACGUGCAGUAGGAUUACUUGGUGCAUUCGGCUUGGAAAAAACAGCAAAUGUAAUUUUUUCUGUGGCACGUUAAUUGGUGUACAUCAUGUAACCUGUCUGGUGAGUAACCUAGGGUAGGGGAUGAGUUCUCGUCACUACAUAUAUUUGAUGGCUUUUUUAUAUAAUACAGUCGUGCAUUUCACCGGCUUCUCGGCCACAAAUGCACAUGACCUCUGGGGGAGCUGGGGAGGAAGGCGAGGAGCCUGUGGCCACAGUGGGCCUCAGGCUGAGAGCAGGAGGCAUCUCCCAGGCUCAGACAUGUCCUCCCUAGGCCAUCGGCACAGACUUCACAGGGACUGAGGUCAGAGCUCAAGCUUGUUAUGAUGAAGUUCAUUUGCCUGGAAAACCAAUUUUUAGAAUCUUUGUACAAAUGACCAAAGCUAUUGAGUUGGCCAGAAAAGGUGAGAUAAAUAAAUUUAUUUCAAAAUGAAAA